UGGUGUUGUCCUAACACUUG
Molecule: non-coding RNA, 20 nt
Filed under: Arabidopsis thaliana (thale cress)
Lineage: Eukaryota; Viridiplantae; Streptophyta; Magnoliopsida; Brassicales; Brassicaceae
Source: RNAcentral